Molecule: ribosomal RNA, 356 nt
Filed under: uncultured Glomeraceae
Lineage: Eukaryota; Fungi; Glomeromycota; Glomeromycetes; Glomerales; Glomeraceae
Description: SSU rRNA
Rfam family: Eukaryotic small subunit ribosomal RNA
Source: RNAcentral
AGCAGCCGCGGUAAUUCCAGCUCCAAUAGCGUAUAUUAAAGUUGUUGCAGUUAAAAAGCUCGUAGUUGAAUUUCGGGAUCAGUGGGUUGGUCGUGCCAACGGUAUGCACUGGCCUCACUGGUUCCUCCUUCUUGUAGAACCGUAAUGCCAUUAAGUUGGUGUUGCGGGGAAACAGGACUGUUACUUUGAAAAAAUUAGAGUGUUUAAAGCAGGCUAACGCUUGAAUACAUUAGCAUGGAAUAAUGAAAUAGGACGAACGAUCCUAUUUUGUUGGUUUCUAGGAUUGACGUAAUGAUUAAUAGGGAUAGUUGGGGGCAUUAGUAUUCAAUUGUCAGAGGUGAAAUUCUUGGAUUUAU